This 741-nucleotide unclassified non-coding RNA is filed under the name uncultured Synechococcus sp. RNAcentral's name for it is "partial contains 16S ribosomal RNA and 16S-23S ribosomal RNA intergenic spacer". The stretch from base 1 to 248 matches the Rfam family "Bacterial small subunit ribosomal RNA", at positions 1287 to 1533 of the family's 1533-position model. Lineage: Bacteria; Bacillati; Cyanobacteriota; Cyanophyceae; Synechococcales; Synechococcaceae. The record is from RNAcentral.
CUCAGUUCAGGUCGUAGGCUGCAACUCGCCUACGUGAAGGAGGAAUCGCUAGUAAUCGCAGGUCAGCAUACUGCGGUGAAUACGUUCCCGGGCCUUGUACACACCGCCCGUCACACCAUGGAAGUUGGCCACGCCCGAAGCCGUUACUCCAACCCUUGUGGAGGAGGACGUCGAAGGUGGGGCUGAUGACUGGGGUGAAGUCGUAACAAGGUAUCCGUACCGGAAGGUGCGGAUGGAUCACCUCCUAACAGGGAGACAACACAAUGAUUUUGAUGCCUGAGUGCUUUUAUUCUUAGGCCGAAAUCCUGUCACCUUAGGUCGAUCGGUACCUCAGCUUUGAAAUCAAGAAUCAGCAGCAAUGUUGAUUGCUUGAUGGAGAUUUUCAGUUCCUAAACUUUGUCUAGGUCACACCCCAAAAGGGAUGAGACUCCUGGGCCAUUAGCUCAGGUGGUUAGAGCGCACCCCUGAUAAGGGUGAGGUCCCUGGUUCAAGUCCAGGAUGGCCCAUUCGGUGUUGGGGGUUUAGCUCAGUUGGUAGAGCGCCUGCUUUGCAAGCAGGAUGUCAGGAGUUCGAGUCUCCUAACCUCCACUGACCGAACUUUUUCCCCAUCUCCAAAUCGUUGGAGUUGAGCUCGAUUGGCGUGUGAUUUAGAUGUGUCCGCUGGAUGACCCCAGCUUCCUGUCAUUCCAAGUUUUAAGUUGAAAGCUUUAAAUUUGGUUGAUAAGAUGCUGGGCUCGAACU